RNA transcript from Etheostoma spectabile (orangethroat darter), 7332 nucleotides. It is a transcript of the gene named nuclear factor of activated T cells 5a, with no coding region annotated. The record is from RefSeq and is a predicted model, not a curated record. Lineage: Eukaryota; Metazoa; Chordata; Actinopteri; Perciformes; Percidae. The transcript has 13 exons.
UGUGCGUUUGUGUGUGUUCGUCUCAACGUAGCACGAAAUAUGUCUCCUCUCAGCAAAGACGCACACACUAACGGGAGACGUGCUAGUUAACGGUUUUUUUGAUAUUGAAAGUUUUGUUUUGUCGACUUAAGAUUGUUUCGAUGUUAUACUCUGUAUAUUAAAACAUUCCGCUUGUAAAACGCAAUAUUUAUUGUCCAAGAGCUGCCGACUUCGUUUCUACUAAAGAGUGUCCGCUUCCCCUCCCUCGAUGAAGCGCUGCGAUGCCCUCUGAUUUUAUAUCCCUCCUUAGCUCGGAUCUCGACCUCAAUUCCCCCAAAUCUCUAUACUCGAAAGAGUCGGUAUAUGACCUCCUCCCCAAAGAGCUCCAGCUCCAUCCGUCGUCCACCCAGACAGACCCACCCACCAUGAGCCAGAAGAGUGGGGGAGAGGCGGGCCCUCCCCCCUCUGCAGCCUUGGCCUCAGAUGCCAUCUCCUCCACCUCCACCCCCUCAGCCUCUUCCUCCCUGACCAUGGGAGUUCCAUCCACUGGCUCUACUUCAUCCUCAGAGCAUCUUAAGAUUCCCCAGCAUCUCCACUCCACCGGAGGGGAUGGAGCUGGAGCUUCAGAGAUUCAAGGUAUGGACGGUGCUGUGUCUGCCCUCAGCAGAGGCAACAGUGGAGCAAACACUGCAACAGGAGACAUAGGGUCAGAAGUCUUGUCAGGGCUAGGAGUCCAGCAGCCUCAAAACACCCCAUCCAAACGGAGGCCUGUGUUGAGCAUAUCCCCGCCACCUGAGGAUCUAUUUGAUGACAGCCAGAUGUCUUGCCAAGAGGAGCCUGCCAUACCUGGUCCAACAGGUCCAGAUUCAGAGCAUAGCAGCAGCAUGUGGGCUGAUGACUCCGUCUCCAACUUCAGCUUGAUCAGUUCCGUCUCCUACAAUGACAACACAGAGGUGCCGCGCAAGUCGAGGAAACGCACCCCUCGCCAACGGCCUGGGCCCAAGCCUGCUCCUCCGGAGGACAGCAUGGAUGUGUUUGAUGCUGACAGCGCCAAGGGCCCUCACUUUGUCCUAUCCCAGCUGGGCACAGACAAGACCAGUCCCAUAGCAAGCUCUCUUGAGUCAGGAACUGCAGUGAAGGGUGGGACACUGUCUUCUCAGUUCCCCCAGAGGAGUGAUGGGAAAGAGCUAAAGAUCUUGGUGCAGCCAGAGACCCAGCACAGAGCUCGCUAUCUGACCGAGGGCAGCAGAGGUUCUGUAAAAGACCGCACGCAACAGGGAUUCCCCACUGUCAAGUUGGAAGGCGUGAGUGAACCAGUUGUGCUGCAGGUGUUUGUUGCGAAUGAUGCAGGCAGAGUAAAGCCUCAUGGUUUCUACCAGGCAUGCAGAGUGACAGGGCGCAACACCACUGCUUGCAAGGAGGUGGACAUAGAGGGCACCACUGUCAUUGAGAUCCCUCUGGAGCCGAGCAAUGACAUGACACUGGCGGUGGACCGUGUAGGAAUUUUGAAGCUGCGUAAUGCAGAUGUGGAGGCCCGUAUAGGUGUGGCAGGGUCCAAGAAGAAGAGCACACGUGCCAGGCUGGCCUUCAGAGUCAACAUCCCCCAACCUGAUGGUUCAGCCCUUACUCUACAGGUCGCUUCAUCACCCAUCCUCUGCACCCAGCCAGCAGGAGUGCCAGAGAUCCUGAAGAAGAGUCUUCACAGCUGCUCAGUGAGAGGAGGAGAAGAAGUUUUUAUCAUCGGGAAGAACUUUCUCAAAGGAACCAAAGUUAUUUUUCAGGAGAAUAUUGCAGAUGACAAUUCCUGGCACGCUGAGGCAAAGAUUGACAUGGACCUUUUCCAUCAGAACCAUUUGAUAGUGACAGUCCCUCCGUUCCACAACCAGUCAGUCACUUCUCCCAUUUCUGUGGGAAUAUUCGUGAUGACCAAUGCUGGUAGAUCACAUGAUGCCCAGCCCUUCACCUACACUCCAGACUCAGCUGAUAACUCAAAUGUCCAGACAGUAAAAACAGAGGGACCCUCUCUGGUCAAGACAUGUGUAUUUGAUGGCCAGAUCAAAUCUGUAUCUCCUGAGCAAACGGACAGCUCUGCUCCGCCUUCCAAACGGCAAGAGGACACACCAAUGGAAGUGUCUAGCAAUCCAUCACAGACUGAUGUCUUUAAGCCGUCCCCUGAGCCUCUUGUUGCGGUGCAGCAGACGUUGGAGGUCUGCUCUAGUCCUCAUCCCGGUGGAGAUUCCUUUCAGAGCCCAAUGCCUCUACAACCUGAAGAUGUGGAGCUUCCCCAGGCGCACCCUGUCUUUCCCAGCCUAGAGUCUCUCAGCACCAUACAAAAGCAAGACAUUGCCCCCACAACCUCCUUCCCAGUGCCAGGUGAUACUACAAUCCCCCCUGUGACACCAGAGGUCCCUCAACAAUUCCUCAGAGACCCUCAGGACAGCACACCUCCUGAGAGCUCCAAUAAUAGUGGAGGGGUCGUAGCUGUGGCCAUGUCCCAGAUAGCGACUCCCUCUCAGCCCCAACCACAACAGUCACAGGUUCCCCUGUUCCCCCAGGAAGGGGUGGCCCAGCUGGAGAGGGCAGUUAGGGAGCUACAGGCUGGAGGUAGCACCACGUUUCAACAGGUGUUGGAGGCGGCUGUAGCCCAGCAGCAGCUGAACUCAGUGCUAUACAGCCCCUCCCCCUCUGCAGACUCCCUUCAGCAGCACGUCCAGGAGAACAUGAAUAGCCUUAGAUUGGGAACCACAGAUAAUUCAUUAUCAACCCAGCAACAGCUACAGAUCCAACAGCAACAACAGAUCCAACAGCAACAACAGAUCCAACAGCAACAACAGAUCCAACAGCAACAACAGAUCCAACAGCAACAACAGAUCCAACAGCAACAACAGAUCCAACAGCAACAUCAGAUACAACAACAACAGCAGAUACAACAACAACAACAACAACAACAGCAGAUACAACAACAACAACAGCAACAGUUUCAACAGCAUCAACAACUGCAGCAACAACAGCAAAUCCUUGGUACCCUCCAGCAGCAUCAACAACAGCAUCAACAACAGCAGCAACACUUGCAGCAGCAAGUUCCUGGCAACAUGCAGAUCCAACAACAACUUAUGUUACAGCCACACGACCAGCAGCAACUGCAGCAACAGCAAAUCAUGGAGAAUAUUCAACAGCAACAACAGUUGCAACAAAAUCAGCAACAGCAAGUCCUUAACAACAUCCAACUUCAGGAUCAGCAACAACAAAAUCAAAUACUGAACAAUUUACAGCAACAUCAGCUACAGCAGCAACAACAACAGCAACAGCAAAAUCAAAAUCAAGUGUUGAGCAACUUACAACUGCAAGAGCAGCAGGUGUUGGAGAAUCUACAGCAGUGCCUUCAGGCUGAGUUGCUUCAGCCCCAGAUCCACUCCUCCCCCCAAGGACAGCAGCCAGUGUCCAUCCUUCAACAGGCUGGAGAGCUGCUCACCAUUCAGACCAGCUUCCCAACACAGCCCCCAUCCCACACAUCUCCCCCACAGCAGCUCUUUCAAUCGCCCAGGCCCUUGGCUGAGACUCAGGGCUCUCAACAGCAGGUCCAGGCUGCCCUGCUCCAGAAUACGCUGACUGUUCUGACAAGUGGCAGUCUCAACUCAGAGCAGCAGCCUACUGGUUCAACACUAUACCUGUCCCCAAACCCUCAGCCCCACCAACAGCAACAACAGCUGGCAUUCAUCUCCUCCAUGGAGACAUCCAACAGCCAGCCCCGGUCUGUUGCUAUGUUUCAGAACCAACCCCAAGCUCAGCUUUCCCAAAUGCAGCAACAGAGCACCCCAAUGGAGCAACAGCAGUCUCCACAGCAGAACCAACAACAGCCAACGCAGCUUUCAAUGGGCCAGCAGGGCUCCUUGUUUCAAAGUAUCCCAAACCACUCACAGCCUAACCCUGUCCCCCAGAACCAGCUUUCCCAACCCCAGCAGACAGGUCUCCUCCUCUGCACCACAGAUCUUAAUCCCCAGGCUAUUCCCCCAACUAUUCUAUUUAGCACCCAGACCCAAGGCCCUUCCCCUCUGGGGAACAUUAGCGUUGGAAUCCCCCAGCCAGACACAGCAGAGCCCAUGUCCUUCCAAGACCAGAGCUCCUCAGGCAGCAACUCUACAUCCACUGAGAACCAACAGCAGAGCCUGUACCAGGAACAGCAGCCAAUGCAAGUGGGCCUGAGUUCCAGCAGCAUCCCGAGCAGUCAACCUGUGGAGCUGUUCUUGCCACAGACAUCUCUGUCCAGUCUGCAGAGCAGUAUUGGCUCACAAGACCUGAACAACCAGGCUCCCGCCCCUGGCACAACCAUCUUUGUGGUACAGGGUGGUGUGGGUGUGGUAGCCAACCCUGGCCAGCAGCCCCCAGAGCAGCUUUUCCAGACAACUGUGGGUGGGAAUGUGGCUCCACAAGGACAGGCCAACCUGUUUGUGUUUGGCAUCCAGAAUGACGCGCCCCAGCUCCUCAACUCCUCUGGACCCACGCUGCAAGCUCAGGGCCAGCCCCAGAACUCCAGUCACAUGCAGCCUCUGUUGGACCAGCCUAUGGCCCAAGCUUCCUCCACCAUGCACAGCAAUUUACAGAACACCCUUCAGGCACAAAUGCAGUCCAGCUUAGAGAACGCCAUGCAGAGCAGUCUACAGAAUGCAAUGCAGACAAACACGCAAACAGCUCUGCAGUCCACUUUACAGGCAACCAUAGAAACAAGCCUGCCAACUCCAAUGCAGACCAAUCUACAGACACAGAUACAGAGCAGCUUACAGAAUCAAUUGCAGGCAUCAAUAUCUGCUUCGUCCAACAUGGAUAAAAUUGAGGACCUAUUGGAAAGCCUACAGAAGCAGUGAUAAAUUUUAGGACUAUUUGGGAACUAAGGAGAGUGAGUAAUAUGUAGCUGAGAGUUGUACAUUCUUACAUAAAUUAACAGAACGGUGGUGUGUGGUGUUUUUUUGCCAAUGCCACAAAACUUAGAAAAAAUUGAAUAUUUAAGAAUUAAAUGCCCCUUUUACCUAAAACCCCAAUUAUGAGCUCAUGUAACUCCGCUUUUAUAGAAUAGUUAUAGCCUUCAUACAUCCAUUGUCCUUGAAUCAAAUAAUUCACCUUUGUUAUUACCCCUCUUGCAGGUACAGAGAGGCCUGUAAUAACUGCUUUAUCCAUCAGUCUCAGAAAUGCAGUGUUUACUUGUUAGUGUUUUAAUAAUCUGAGCCUAAGAGAUGAUGAUGAGAAAAAAAACUACCAGGUGUGGUGAAAAACUGGAAAGGGAUACAGAAUGUCAGCGACAGGGAAAUAGGGGAAUACGUAUGUGAUGGAGAUGAGUCUUUAAGAGCAGGCAGCGCAGAUAAACCAGCCAGUCAUGGAGUGAAUAUCAGAUUGCACAGAAGUGUCAGAUAUAGGCUGAAUCUCAUUUGUGUGAGUGUGUAAACUCCAAGCCUUCCUUUCAGUGUUUUUGUCCAUCAUGUGGAAAUCGGGGCUAUUACCUGGCAUAAAAACAGGGAUGAAAUGUCACCACUCAAUUUAAAGUAUUGACAUGGAUAAUGUAAGAUGUUUUUUUAAAUUAAUUAAACAAUGUGUUUGCAUAUGUCAACAAUUUGACUAAAAUCUACUCUAAGAGUAAAGACUAUUAAAUUAAGUACAUUUGUAGAAUGUUUUACCUUAAUAUUUGCUGGCCUGACUGGAGUAGGCACCUGAGCAGACCGUCGGGAGGAGGAGAAUUUAAAUAUUGAUCAACUUCACAAACAUUAACUCACUCACCAAAAUGGGUAUAAAUACAUUCUGGUAUUGCAGAAAGAGGAGGGACUCUUAAUCACUCGCAAAUGAGAUUCACCCUGGUGAAUAAUGUGACUUGGCCUUUUGUUUUGGCACCGCCCAGUGUUUUCGUAGGUUUAGGCCUCAUUAAUGGGUUUGCAAAAGCUUUCUUGCUUACAUUUAAAGAAGCAUUCAAUUAUGUAGUGUGUGUGUGUGUGUGUGUAUUUCUUGUGUUUUGUUUUUUUUGUUAAAUUUCAUGCAUCUCAAAUGGCACUUUGACUCAUCCAUUAACUGUAGAUCAGGUUAGAGCGCAGUAGUGAUGUUUCCAAGCAUUCCAUUCCUCUUGGGGAGUUUAAGAGCACAUGAUGUUGCGGAACAGUAAUGCCUCUGAAAGCCAUACCAACACAGAAAGCCAACCUGUGACUUCAGUUUCAUGAAUGUAAAUGUUACCUCAUGGUGUGGACAUAGAGCUUGCUCUACAUCUAACAUCGGACCAAUUACAGUUGUAGAGAAACAUAUUUUGAGGCACAGAGGGUGGGUGGGGUGGCAGCAGCAACUGUCAUUUGUAUUACUGUACAUUUGUCAGAUUGUUUUGUCUUGGAUUUUGGUGUAAUUUCAUGUUUCUUCACAUCCAGUUUAAUUUUGAGCAAUCCAGGAUGCUCAGUCUGACUCUUCGAAUAGCCACUUUCACCUGAAAAACCGUGAAACAUUAAUUUACUGGUGGUGGAGAUAGCACACAAAUCUUAACAAAAUAUCAGUUUGGUCCUUAAGUCAUGUAAAUGAAUAUCCAUGUAUAUUAAAUGUGAAAUAUACUGCAGGGGUAUCUCUAACUUCAAUAGUGAUGCUUUCAACAGAACUUUGUGUGCCUUGAUAACUUAACUGUUACUCUGCUGUGUUUCCCUUUUGUGUCAUUGCUAUUUGGCUCCUUUUGUCCUUUUUAUUCUCUAGGACUGUUUAACAUCAGGACACUUUUCAGUGAUUUUAUUUUUAUUUCUAAACAAGCAUAACCAUAGCCCAUACAGACAAGAUUUGUUUAAGUUUGAACAUUUUCUCUUUGGAAAUCCAUUGCAGGAUAUCAGAUCGAGUACUCGCAACAUAAUAUUGUGCAACUUCACCAGUGAAUUGUCAACUUGUUUGUGACUUUCUGUUGAAAAUGUUUUCAUGCCUUGUGAGAUUUGUACAUGUGAGGUAAAAGGGACGAGACAAUGGAGAUUGUUUUAUGGAGAGCUUUCUUGUGUUGAUGUGCUUGUCAACAUUACUAUUGUUGCUGUGAAAUUCUUGAUCAAAAGGAGCAACCAUGAUAAAUUAACUGUUAAUUGCCAAUAGUGUGAGCUGUAUCUUGUGUGUAAUCAGUUUGCUCACUUUACCUAGUUCGCUUUCUAUUUCACAUUCUCCAACAGUUCUGUUGUAUCCGUUCUGUGUAGCUUGAGCUUUAGUAUCUAGCCUUAAGAUCCUGCAGCCAGGAUAAAGGUCAACCCCAGUGUGUUAUCAUACAUCUGAACUAUUAUUAACAUGUACCUUGCCUUGGUCUGGACAUUUGUAUACUCUUCUGUUUAUAUCUGUAAUCCUGCUGCUACAUUAAAAAAAAAUUAA